Molecule: ribosomal RNA, 253 nt
Filed under: uncultured bacterium
Lineage: Bacteria
Description: partial 16S ribosomal RNA
Rfam family: Bacterial small subunit ribosomal RNA
Source: RNAcentral
GACAGAGGGUGCAAACGUUGUUCGGAAUUACUGGGCGUAAAGCGCGUGUAGGCGGCCAUGCAAGUCGGAUGUGAAAGCCCUCGGCUCAACCGGGGAAGUGCACUCGAAACUGCAAGGCUAGAGUCCCGGAGAGGAUCGUGGAAUUCUCGGUGUAGAGGUGAAAUUCGUAGAUAUCGAGAGGAACACCGGUGGCGAAGGCGGCGAUCUGGACGAGGACUGACGCUGAGACGCGAAAGCGUGGGGAGCAAACAGG